ACUGAGCUUCUACAAUAAGUGGUCUCCUUUCAGCCUUCUACAAGAACCAGACUCCGUCCAAACUUCCAUAGUGGAUGGAUAUCGGACGAGCUUCUACGACGGACGGACUCCGACAGCUGAAUUUCUACAACGGCCGAUCGCCUCUAGUGUCUGUCGAACCUCCCUAGCCAUCACCUUCAAUAGCAUUAGCCGAACUUUCGCAA
RNAcentral lists this long non-coding RNA (203 nucleotides) under Elaeis guineensis (African oil palm). RNAcentral's name for it is "long non-coding RNA (EGUI_LNC049419)". Lineage: Eukaryota; Viridiplantae; Streptophyta; Magnoliopsida; Arecales; Arecaceae. The record is from RNAcentral.